AGAGUUUGAUCCUGGCUCAGGAUGAACGCUAGCGGGAGGCUUAAUACAUGCAAGUCGAGGGGCAGCACGAUCAGCAAUGAUUGGUGGCGACCGGCGGACGGGUGAGUAACGCGUACCCAACCUACCUUAUACAGGAGCAUAGCCCCGGGAAACUGGGAGUAAUACUCCAUAACAUUACGGAAUCGCAUGAUUCUGUAAUUAAAACUUCGGUGGUAUAAGAUGGGGGUGCGUUCCAUUAGUUAGUUGGUAGGGUAACGGCCUACCAAGACGAUGAUGGAUAGCUGGCGUGAGAGCGCGACCAGCCACACUGGAACUGAGACACGGUCCAGACUCCUACGGGAGGCAGCAGUAGGGAAUAUUGGACAAUGGGGGAAACCCUGAUCCAGCCAUCCCGCGUGCAGGAUGAAGGCCCUCUGGGUCGUAAACUGCUUUUCUUAGGGAAGAAACGCUUGGAUUUAUCCGAGUCUGACGUACCUAAGGAAUAAGCACCGCUAACU
RNAcentral lists this ribosomal RNA (497 nucleotides) under uncultured bacterium. RNAcentral's name for it is "bacterial SSU rRNA". It matches the Rfam family "Bacterial small subunit ribosomal RNA", at positions 8 to 502 of the family's 1533-position model. The record is from RNAcentral.